Molecule: ribosomal RNA, 901 nt
Filed under: uncultured Bacillota bacterium
Lineage: Bacteria; Bacillati; Bacillota
Description: bacterial SSU rRNA
Rfam family: Bacterial small subunit ribosomal RNA
Source: RNAcentral
CAAGUCGAACGAGAAAGUCUCCUUCGGGGGAUGAGUAAAGUGGCGCACGGGUUAGUAACACGUAGGUAAUCUACCUUCGGGUGGGGAAUAACCCAGGGAAACUUGGGCUAACACCGCAUAAUGCAGCGGCACCACAUGGUGACAGUUGUUAAAGCGGGGGAUUUUAGGACCUCGCGCCUGAAGAGGAGCCUGCGGCGGAUUAGCUAGUUGGUAGGGUAACGGCUUACCAAGGCGACGAUCCGUAACCGGCCUGAGAGGGCGGUCGGUCACACUGACACUGACAUACGGGUCAGACUCCUACGGGAGGCAGCAGUCGGGAAUUUUGGGCAAUGGGCGAAAGCCUGACCCAGCAACGCCGCGUGAAGGAUGAAAUCCCUCGGGAUGUAAACUUCGCAAGAAUAGGAAGAAUUAGUAGGGGCUAAUACCCCCUAUGAUGACGGUACUAUUUGUAAGCUCCGGCUAACUCCGUGCCAGCAGCCGCGGUAAUACGGGGGGAGCAAGCGUUGUUCGGAUUUACUGGGCGUAAAGGGCGCGUAGGCGGUAGCACAAGUCAGUUGUGAAAUCUCCGGGCUUAACUCGGAAAGGUCAACUGAUACUGUGCGACUAGAGUGCAGAAGGGGCAACUGGAAUUCUCGGUGUAGCGGUGAAAUGCGUAGAUAUCGAGAGGAACACCUGCGGCGAAGGCGGGUUGCUGGGCUGACACUGACGCUGAGGCGCGAAAGCCAGGGGAGCGAACGGGAUUAGAUACCCCGGUAGUCCUGGCCUUAAACGAUGGAUGCUUGGUGUCUGGAGUUUUAUAGUCUCCGGGUGCCGCAGCUAACGCGUUAAGCAUCCCGCCUGGGGAGUACGGUCGCAAGACUGAAACUCAAAGGAAUUGACGGGGACCCGCACAAGCGGUGGA